Molecule: ribosomal RNA, 536 nt
Filed under: Melitaea cinxia (Glanville fritillary)
Lineage: Eukaryota; Metazoa; Arthropoda; Insecta; Lepidoptera; Nymphalidae
Description: partial 16S ribosomal RNA
Rfam family: Archaeal large subunit ribosomal RNA (bases 400-536)
Source: RNAcentral
UCAAAAACAUGUCUUUUUGAUAAUAAUUUAAAGUCUAGUCUGCCCACUGAUAUAAUUAUUAAAGGGCUGCAGUAUAUUGACUGUACAAAGGUAGCAUAAUCAUUAGUCUUUUAAUUGAAGACUUGUAUGAAAGAUUUGAUGAAAUAUAAACUGUCUCUAAUUUAUUAAUAAAAAUUAAUUUUUUAAUUAAAAAGUUAAAAUAAUAUUAAAAGACGAGAAGACCCUAUAAAGUUUUAUAAUUUAUUUAUUUAUUAUUAAAUAAAUAAUUAAAUAUAAUAAUUAAUAUAAAUUAUUUUAUUGGGGUGAUAAAAAAAUUUAACUAACUUUUUUUAAAAAAUAAACAUAAAUAAAUGAAAUAAUGAUCCAUUAUUAAUGAUUAAAAGAAAAAAUUACUUUAGGGAUAACAGCGUAAUAUUUUUUUUUAGUACAAAUAAAAAAAAAGUUUGCGACCUCGAUGUUGGAUUAAGAUAAAAUUUAAAUGCAAAAGUUUAAAAUUUUGAUCUGUUCGAUCAUUAAAAUCUUACAUGAUCUGAGCU